Punica granatum (pomegranate) is the source of this 691-nucleotide non-coding RNA. The record is from RefSeq and is a predicted model, not a curated record. NCBI's taxonomy places the organism in Eukaryota, Viridiplantae, Streptophyta, Magnoliopsida, Myrtales, Lythraceae.
AGAGAGUAAAGUUAACAGAAGCCCUUGGCACUUGCAAUCGCGGAAAUUUCUUCUAAUCUCCAUUCUUUCUCUUAUAAUCAGAUGAACUCGGUCGAAACCGAAACAAUCGAAACCUAAUCAUCAUUCUCUUCUCCCCGUCUCUUCUCUCCGUCUCUUCUCCAACCAUAUCCGAGACAGAGACUCCGAUUUCUCUCUCUCGCUCUCUAUUGCCAACCCCGACUCUUCAGAGGCUCCCCUCCGUCUUCGACUCUCCGCCAAGGCCUUCAGCUCCACCGUUGGGAAGAAUGGAGGUCUCUCCUCGGGAAAUUUGUCAGCACAAUACAGGCACAAAAAUGCAGGUAUGAGUGAACACGAUGCCGAAUUGGACAAAGGCUGUACAGAGACCUUGAUGAAAAUUAAGCCAUCUCGAUGUUGUGUUCGUUUGAUGAGUAAGCUGGAUUUCUUGCAUGGGAUUUGGUUUGGUGAGAAUGCUCCGACUAUUCAGAUCUUCACCCACAUGCACGGGAGUAUUAGUGAACUGCAAGAGCGUUUCGGUUGCCUUCUUCUCUUGGGUAACGAGUUUUGGAAGCUCUGGAGAAUGAUCAUCAAUUUUAUUGCCCAAAGUUACUGAACCAGAGACACAAAACACUAGAAAAGAUUCGUUAUCCCUUGAAUCGAGUAGAUUUCAAACCGGAACAAAAAAAUUUACAGA